This 472-nucleotide ribosomal RNA is filed under the name uncultured bacterium. RNAcentral's name for it is "bacterial SSU rRNA". It matches the Rfam family "Bacterial small subunit ribosomal RNA", at positions 66 to 524 of the family's 1533-position model. The record is from RNAcentral.
GAACCCCAGGGAGCUUGCUCCCAAAUGUAAUCGGCGGACGCGUGAGUAACAUAUGGGUAACCUGCCUGUAAGACUGGGACACUUCGGGAAACCGGAGCUACUGACGGAUCAUUCUUUUCCUCACAUGAUGGAAAGCUGAAAGACGGCGCAAGCUGUCACUUACAGAUGGGUCCGCGGCGCAUAAGCUGGUUGGUGAGGUAACGGCUCACCAAUGCGACGAUGCGUAUCCGACCUGAGAGGGUGAUCGGCCACAUUGGGACUGAGACACGGCCCAAACUCCUACGGGAGGCAGCAGUAUGGAAUCUUCCGCAAUGGACGAAAGUCUGACUGAUCAACGCCGCGUGAGUGAUGAAUGUCUUCGGAUCGUAAAACUCUGUUGUUAUGGAAGAAUAAGUAUCGGAGUAACUGCCGGUACCUUGACGGUACCUAACCAUAAAGCCACGGCUAACUACGUGCCAGCAGCCGCGGUAAU